Molecule: ribosomal RNA, 686 nt
Filed under: uncultured bacterium
Lineage: Bacteria
Description: bacterial SSU rRNA
Rfam family: Bacterial small subunit ribosomal RNA
Source: RNAcentral
UCUCUUCGGGGAUGAUUAAACCGGCGCACGGGUGAGUAACACGUGAGUGACCUGCCUUUUAGACUGGAACAACUUACCGAAAGGUGAGCUAAUGCCGGAUGAGUUAUAUAAGUGCAUGUUUAUAUAGGAAAAGUUGGGGAGACCUGACGCUGAAAGAUGGACUCGCGUCCCAUUAGCUAGUUGGUAGGGUAAUGGCCUACCAAGGCGACGAUGGGUAGCCGGCCUGAGAGGGUGGCCGGCCACACUGGGACUGAGACACGGCCCAGACUCCUACGGGAGGCAGCAGUGGGGAAUUUUGCGCAAUGCUCGUAAGAGUGACGCAGCGACGCCGCGUGAAUGACGAAGGCCUUCGGGUCGUAAAGUUCUUUCGACAGGGAAGAAAAUGCCUAUAAGUAACUGUGUAUGUAUUGACGGUACCUGUAUAAGCAGCCCCGGCUAACUCCGUGCCAGCAGCCGCGGUAAUACGGAGGGGGCGAGCGUUGUUCGGAGUGACUGGGCGUAAAGAGCACGUAGGCGGUGUUGUAAGUCAUUAGUCAAAGACUAGAGCUCAACUUUAGUAAGGCUAGUGAUACUAUAAUACUAGAGUAUCAGAGAGGAUUGCAGAAUUCCUGGUGUAGCGGUGAAAUGCGUAGAUAUCAGGAGGAAUACCGUUAGCGAAGGCGGCAAUCUGGCUGGAAACUGACGUU